RNAcentral lists this long non-coding RNA (18463 nucleotides) under Arabidopsis thaliana (thale cress). RNAcentral's name for it is "long non-coding RNA (ATHA_LNC000195)". The record is from RNAcentral. Lineage: Eukaryota; Viridiplantae; Streptophyta; Magnoliopsida; Brassicales; Brassicaceae.
GCUCUUCCCGAGAGGUUCAAAACUCCAUCAAUUCUUUGAAUGGUGCAGUAGUAUCAUCAUUUCUCUUCUUCGCAUAACAAUUUAUUCGAUUAGUACUUCUUACAGUAAAUGAUCAAACAUCUAACACAUGUUUUACUUUCGUAAUUAAAGGAUUUGGAUGGUAGGCAGUCUCAGAGGCUGAGGCUAGGCCACCAAGAGGCCAAUUUUGAGCGGCCACACCUCUUCACGUUCUCAUAAAAAAUGCAGAUUCUGAAGGGUAAGACUCUCAAUCCUCAGCCAAGUUCGAGCAUUUCCUAUAUGAUUCAUAAUUGUCAAGUAACAAACGACUAAGUAUGUUGAAUCUUGAAUGUAACAGUUUCUGUGAGCCUUUGAGGCAUAUGGGGUUAAUGGACAAUGGCGGUUUCAGAGAGUAACUAAAACUUACUGCUGGUGCACGCUAGGCUUUAUCCGCCUGAGAUGUAUGAAGACAUAAAGGAAUGGUCUUUUCUAGAAAGAUAAUGAUUGCGUUAAAGCAGAGACAUGUGUUUCUCCAAAAUCCUGCUUAUUCACUGAGCAUCUUGAGGAGGACGUAAACAAGACCAAGAACAUGGCCCCAUGGUGUUGUUAUUCUCUAAGGAAACUAACUUUAGUACUAGUAUUAAUGUAAACACAACGCAUAAGAACCUCUUUGAUUUCAUUGAUUAUAAUUCCAAUCACUCGUUUAAAAGCGAAAGAAAAAACAAUUACACCGAAGGAAAAUUCACAAAAGAGCAAGUGGAAAACACAAAUAUAAGAAAGGGAAAUGAAAACUGCAAGUGACUGAUUUAGAUUUGUACAGAGAGAUCACAACUUCAUUUAUUCUUGAGAAAUCUGGUUUGAUGUGUUUAGACGUUGGCAGCACUUCUGAAUGAUCCAAGAGACUUAGAACCUGAAGCUCUCAGAACGAAUUGGUGGUAGAAUGCAGCUAUCGCAGCUCCAAUGAAUGGUCCAACCCAAAAUAUCCACUGUUUGUAAUCACCAAAAUUUCAAAACAUUAUUCCCUUGUAAAAAUGAAAAAUAUAGUUGAAUGUAAUGGAGAAACGUUGAGGUCUUACGUGGUCAUCCCAUGGCUUGCUCUUGUUGUAGAUUACGGCAGCUCCGAAACUCCUUGCCGGGUUAAUUCCGGUUCCGGUAAUGGGAAUGGUAGCCAAAUGUACCAUGAACACGGCAAAUCCGAUUGGAAGUGGCGCCAACACCUUUUAUUUCAUCAAAAUUCAAAUUUAUUAGUAUGAUUGAAAUCAAAUGUUGGUUUGGUUUGCUUUGGUUCCGGUUUUGAGUCGGUUAACCAUAUUGAAGAUUAAUAGCACUACAUAUGUGACUCACCGGAACGUGGGAGUCUCUGGCACUACGUUUGGGGUCAGUGGCAGAGAAGACGGUGUAGACAAGAACGAAAGUACCAAUGAUCUCUGCGGCUAGACCGGUCCCUGUGCUGUAGCCAUCGGCUAGAGAGUUGGCUCCACCUCCGUAACGGGUGUAGUAAGAGCUUUGGAAGGCUUUGACAAAACCAACUCCACAAAUCGCACCCAAACACUGAGCGAUUAUGUACAAUAGGGCCCUAGGUAACGACACUUUACGUGCCAAGAAUAGCCCAAAUGUCACCGCUGGGUUAAUGUGACCACCUAAGGAAACAAAAAGAGUUGACAAUGUUACCAGUACUUGAGAAUUAAGGUACAACAAGCAAUUAAUUAACCGGUUUCAAUUCUGGUUAAGACAGGGUUAGUCAGUUGCUUAAAAUAAUUACUAGGCUUAGAUUAGAUAUAUAUCAUUCGGAUAAGAACCGAUUUGAUCAUGACCCUUAUUAAAUGUUUUAUAAACAAAUCAUUUUCGUCUUUUAAACCUAAGAUUUUAAACCGAUUAAAUAGUAAUGUCAACCAAGCAAUAUUUUUCCUUGCAAAAUAAUUAAUUUCGAAUAAACAAACCAAAACCAUACCAUAUAAUUUUUACUUGUCUAAAUUUUGAGUUUGCAAGUUGUACUUACAUAAGUAAAACUUAUUCAGCUUAUUCGGUUUAAUUGUAAUUCUAAUACUCAAAAAGUGUAUAAUCUUAAUCUAAACCAAACCAAAAUCAAGAUUAAAGAAGGAUCAUACCAGAGAUACCGGCGGUGCAGUAGACGAGGAUGAAGAUCAUACCACCAAAGGCCCAAGCGAUACCGAGGAUUCCAACUCCGCCGCAAUCUACGCCACCGGCAUCAGUAUCGGACUGAAUCUUGUAACCGAUGACUGUCAAAACGGUGAUGUAUAAGAAGAGGAGAGUGGCUACGAACUCUGCGAUAACUGCUCUGUAGAAAGACCACUUCUUUAGCUCCGCUCCAUCAAUAAACGGAGCUGGUGGCGGAUCUUGAUAGUCUCUUGUCUGAAAUCCUUCUCCGGGAACGGCUUCCACAUCCUUUGCCAUAGUUAACUUCUUCUUCUUUCAAACAAUAGCUUUUUUUUCUUUUGCUUCUCUGUUGGAGUGGUUAGUGAGAAGAACAUGUGCUCUGUUUUAUAGUGAGAGCUCUCCUUCUUGUUAAUUUGUUUGUAUACUUUUUUAUUGCUUUAUCUUUUAAAAAAUAUUUUUAGUAUUUUUGCCAACGUUAUAUGUUUUUUUGGUUUUUUGUGUAUUGAGGUUUUUUUUUGGAAUGAAAGUUUGUAUUUUCAAUGAAAAAAUUGGAUAUAAAAGUAUACGAGUGAGUUAUGAUUAUUAUUAUUAUGAGGGAAGUAGCUUUGACAAAAUGAUUAUGAACUAGCUGUCCUGAAAUAAAUUUUGAACCAAUUCUAUUUAAUGAUUGCUUGAUAUAUCAAUAUCAUACAUAGUUACUAAUACGUAAAGACAAGAACCCUAGUUUAAUUUCAGACUUAGAGUUUUUCAAUCGUUGAAAUUUGAAAAAUUCAAAUAAGUUAGCCAGUAAAUUUCUUUAAAAUUUGAUUCGAGUUUAUUUUAGAUCCUAAAUUAGAAUAGUUUAUUCUAUUUAACGUUAUAGUUUGCACCAAGUCCAUGACAAAAAGAUUGAUCCAAAUCUAUUGAACAUGCGUCUAUAAAUACAUGAUAAUGAUAUGGGAUUAGCUAGCUUAUGAUAUCAUAAAACAAGACUUUAUAUCCACUCAUAUAAACUUGCAUAGUUUUAUCUCUCGUAGCAAUAGGAAGUAUCAAUCAGUGGUGAUGGUGGAGAGCUAUCAGAACCACAACUUUGAAAUAAUUUAUUAGUUUUUAUGUCAAUCAAAUUUUUAUAUGUUUUUCUGGUAAAUAAUGGAGGUUUUUUUUGUUUACUUUAACUUAGCCUCGCCGCCCCCAUCACCUAAAUGUCAUUUUCUUUAGGACCGACCCAAUAUACUAUAUCAUCAAUAUGGUGCUCUCUUCUUUUUGUCGUAUAAUAUCAUAGCCUGUCGAUUUUUCAGAUUUAAAAAGCCACAGUUUUUGUAUGCCAAAUCAUUUUAAAAUAACUUACGUCCACUUUUUUUUUUUAUCGAAUCAGCAUUUACAUUCUUGAAAACACAUAACAAAACUCCAAAACCUUAUUUUGCUCCAACGAAGCAUGGCUAAGUUUCUUCACUCCAAAUCCAACUAAUCAUGCAUGGUUAUAUUCGAGUGUCUCAUUGUAUAUAUAGAGAACAUUUUUCUUGUUCACCAAAGUCAAAACACUUUGUUUUCAAAAUAGAUAGAUAUAUGGUCAUUCUCUUACAUUAUAAACAUUUUUGUAGUCUAGAAGGUCUAGUUUUCUAUCACCAACAUAUGUUAUUAAGUAUGUUUGAGGUGUCAUAAAACAAAACCCUACUUGAAGAUGUUAGAGCCGGAACUCAAAAUUAUGACACAAUAUUAAAGAAGCAUAAACUAUUUCGUUCACAAACUUUCAUUUCAAACUUAAUUGACGAUAAGUAAAUUGAUUCGUCGUAUAUCUUAUCACACAUAACUCAAAUUAGCAUUUAAGUUGAUAUUACUAACAUAAAGUAACCAAAGCCUAAACGAACCCUUUUUCAUAAUUGUUGUGUUGGUAUAUCACUCUCUAAAACCAGGGUGUAAAGUUAUGGUGCCGUUUUGUGGGGUGGGUCGAGAUUCCACUGAGGUUAAAAUCAUAUGGUCUGUGUUGGCAAAAGGUGACACGUGAAUGGGUGGCGCGCGUGACUAACCGACCCGAUCCCUCCGACAAACGUAUCGUCACCGUCCAAUCCAUCUCAGCAUAUAGCCGUUUGUUCGCUCAACCACUCACAUAAUGCCACGUUUGUUGUCCCCACCAAUCAUUUGCAUUUUCUCUUCAUAUCCAAAAUUUCAUAUCUUUUGCGAAAAUUGCUGACAAUUAGACUGAAAACGAAAAUAUAACAAAACAAUAAAUCCCAAUAAAAAUGACAAAUUGUGACAACCAAACAAAAGACAGGAGAUGCAGUUCCAUGGUUAUCGUUUUGCCAUGUGGCAAACCUUAUCGUUUUGGCUACGUUGGUCGGCUACUAUUAGACGAAUAUUCCACGUCAGCCAACUCUUUUUUCUCAUGUUUUUCGAAGUGAAUUUUAGAUAAUAAAAGCACAGAAAUGUGAAUUUUCUGGUUCUGGUUCUGUUGUUAAUUGUUAUUAGUAUGUUUAUUUAUAUAUUUUACACUUUCUUCUAUUCAUAGAAAACUAGUCUUAACCUUAUCUAAAUAUUCUAGACAAAUCGAGUUACAUAUAGUAUGACGUCGUUAUGCAUAAAUUUUGUCCUUUUUAGUCACUCCAAUUGAAAGAAUUAGUCCAGAAUGUACUACAGCAAGAUCAACAAACAUAUAUUGAUUUAUCUGUCUUCAUAAUUAAUAAUUUAAUAUGCAUUCAAAUGAUAAUCAAUUGGAUAUAUACUUUACAUGAUAUUUACAGAUCAAAAAUUUCUAUAUUGUAAUUUCCGAUUACUUAAAUGAGUAAAAUAUAAAAGUCAUAUGAAGUCCAAAUUUUAUUGUACCGGAAAGGACAAAUAAAUUCAUAUAAAGUCAUGUUCUAUUGAAUCUCUUCUAGUCCUCCAUAUUUCAAAUCUCUUCUAGUCCUCCAUACGUAUUUGAACUGCGGAUAUAAAGUAUGUUAGUUUUUUAUUUCACUAUGGUAGAUUUUUAAAACGUAAUUAAAACAGGUUUAACUAUGAGAACAUCGUAGAUCCGACCAAAAUUUAUCGCAUAGUUUGAAAAAAAAGAUAAGAUACUACUAUUAAGUAUAUAUAUUUUAUGUUUUGUUUUGUUUAAAUAAGGAGGUAGACAUUAUUAAUAGUUGUUUAGCACACGAACAAGAAGUUACUAGUAUAAUUUCUCAACGUUUAUUUUGUUGAUGGGGUGCUCGUUGGUCAAAUUUAGCGGCCUGACAAGCUCAGUCGACAGUAAUGUGCCUUUUUGGGUGUACACUGAUGUCUCACCUACAAUGUUUUUGGUCGAGUUACGUAUAAAAGCUCUUGUCCUAAUCAAUUUGUCUUGCAUACGUUUUUUACAGGAAUGCAUUCACUUAGUUAAUUAGCCUUUCCUUUUAGCCCAUCACCCAUAUGAUCUAUUUAGUGCAUUUUCUUUUUGUUUGAUCAUCGCUGGCAUGGCAACAAUAACAAAUAAAAUCAUCGGGAUAACUAAACGCUAAAAUUCUAUGCAACUUGAAAAUCUGAUUAAAAAAAUUAAAGCAAGAGUUAUUUUUCAUCACCAUCGUUUUGUCGUUAAAUAUGACAGAAAAUUUCGUUCUUGACGUAUCAUUUUCAUUUUAUUUUCACAAUGUCCAUUCUAUUUUUGUGUUGGACCAUUUUUCCAUGUGAACGAGUGGUUUCCAAAACAGUAUAUAAAAUUUCUAUGAUUGAUCUUAUACAAUUCGAUUGGAUUUUUUUUAUUUUUUUUUACCAAACACUAGCCAGCAAGAGAGCCCACAAGGCCCAAGAACCAUGAACCGUUGCCAAACUUAGCAAGUGCUCCAAAUUACUUUGAGCACUUGGCAGAAGUUACUUGAUAUCAGGCAAAAACCUUUCUUUUAGUAUUUUAGCACAAAGAAUCUUCAAGAAAUGAAGAGAGACGAGUAAUUAUGAUGAAACAAUCAUAAAUCUUCCUUGCCGUUCAAUAUGAAUGAAAUCGUUUUGAGUGUCAAGUUCGAUGUUUACAUGAAUUUGAAGAUACACAUCUUUCAGUAUAUUUUUAUUUGAGCAUAUAUUAAUCAAUCAACAUACUGGAGGAAAAAAUAAUCAAGAACUCCAAGACCUUAUGUUCAUAUACUUUAAAACAAACAUGAGACAGUUAUUUCAGCAAAAGAAAAUAAUUUCUACUAAGCAAAGAAAUUUGUGAAGAAUGAUAAUCUUUUUUCAAAAUAAAUAGUGUUCAAGUAACCUUCAGAACAAGUGCCAAAGACUAUGUAUGAAAUCAAAUGGCCACUAUCCAUUACAUGAGAUGCAAAAUCCUUACCAUUUACCAUUAACAGUCAUGAAAUUUGUAUCUAAAGAACUUCACAAAAAGAAUGGAAUAGAUAGUCUCGGUUGUUUGUGCAGUGAUCAAAAUUGAAUCAAAGAUCAUGAAAUUCUCAUCUUUUAACCCUCAAAAUGCAAUACCAUUUACACCUAUCACCACUAAUCAAGUAAACAAGCACAUUCCAUACAUACCAAGUUCCCAAACAUUUAGCAAACAUACAACAACACCAAUGCAGUUUCAGAUUCUCAUCACCAUAAUCAAACAAAGAGCUCACCAAAAGCAGAAAUUAAACAGUGAUGAUAGAGAACCAUUGGGGUUUUGAAACAGAGAAUAAUAAGAAUCCAAAACUUGAGAGUCAUUCUAAGUGAAACAUCAUAGCAGCUAAGUUCCCAAACAAAAACAAAAUAUGGUAAAACGAGAAAGAUAACAACAGAAGCAUUUCAAAUUCCCAUAAGAAGAAAAAAAAACUCCAUUGUUCCUUAAUUCUCAGGAAUCUCAAUCUCACCUUCUUGAAUCUCCUGCUGAAGAUCCUUAGGGUCUUUCCCAUCAACAGUGCAUCCCACAGAGACACACGUUCCAAGAAUCUCCCUCACAGUCCCACUCAGCUCCUUAGCAAUAGAUCUAGGCCUCAUAAUCCUAGCAAUCUCAGUCACAUCAUCGAAAGAGAUGUUACCGUUAUGCUUAAUGUUCUUCACCUUCUUACGGUCUCUCUCUGGCUCCUUCAACGCCUUGAUGACGAGAGCUGCAGCAGAUGGAACCACGGUUACCUUAGCUUGACGAUUCUGAACCGUCAGCUUCACGGUGACACGAAGUCCUUUCCAUUCUUUGGCCGUCUCUUUCGCGAUGUCUUCUCCGAUCUUCUUUGGUGCGAGACCGAGAGGACCGAUCUUUGGAGCUAGAGAACUGGCGGCUCCCACUUCUCCUCCGGUUACACGGACGUACACAUCGACGAUCUGGCUCGGGUCCAACUUCGGCGGCAUGGCUCUGUGUUUUGGAGUUUCGCUUGAUCAAAAAGUGGCAAACGAAAAGGAGGCAGCUGCGAAAUGAGCUUUUAGGGUUUUUUGGAAGAUGAGGAACGUAUUAAGUGGUCGAGAUUAGGGUUUCUUUUGUUCCGAUGCUAAAUUACUAACUUAUCCUUUCAUUUCGAACGGCCCAACCCAAUAUUAUAUGGGCUUAGUAACUUUACUAAUGUAGACCAUUGAAGCCCGUGUAUAAUCUUCGGUACAAUCAAGUCUCGGUUCUAUUACUGGUUUGAUCGCAAAUAUUUGGUUUAGUUAAACCGUUUCUACUUCUCAUCAACCAAAGUUACUGUUAGGAGGAGGAGAGACAAAGGAGUUGAAUCUCGAGGCAAAAUCAAAAUCCAAGCUUUUUCUAGGGUUUUACGGAUCUGCGAUUAUCAUUGUUCUGGGUAUUUCUUUUUUUUAGUGAUUCUCAGAUCUACCAUUUUUCUUAAUUUCGUAAGAAUGUGUUGUUAAGAGAUUUAACAAGUUAGAGACUUUGUUUUUCCCCAGUUCGUUGAAAUGACGAGAAGAAAAUCCACCGUCGUCCUGCCGCAGCCUAUUCGUCGAUCAGCGAGGCUUAUCUCUCUGCAGAAUCGAGAUAGUCAAGUGAAACCCAGGAAAGAUCUGGGCUUUGGCUCGGAACCCACGAAGAAAACUCGUCGGGAAGUCUUAAGAGGUCUAUCGAAGAGAUUAGUAUACUCAUCGGAUAGUCCAAUCGAAGAUUCGAGGUCGAAGAAAUUGAACAUUUCGAAAGAUGGGUUUCCGUCGCUAAGGAGAUCUCUUAGGCUUUCGAGUAGGGAAUGUCCUGAAGUCAACAAAGAGAAGCCUAAGACUGCAUCUACUUCAUCUUCUCGCACGAAAUCGUCGACCACUGUUUCGUCUUCUUGUGCUCUGAGACGUUCUCCUAGGUUUUCAAGUGGAGGAGGAGAAUCUGUGGAUCAAUCUUCUUCUUCCAUUGGGAAGAAAUCAGGUAAUAGUGUUUUGAGUAGCUGUAGUACGAAAUCAAUUUCAUCGGAGAAAGUGAAAGGUGGAGAUGGUUUGAAAUCUAAGGAUAGAAGUAGAAGUCGUGUUCGUCCUAAGACUAAGAAGAUGUUUAGUGGUUGUGAUGAUAAUGAAGAAGAAGAAGAAGAAGUUAGUGUCUGCCUUACUGAGAGGAAAAGGAUGAGAAUUGCAAAGCCGAAUGAGGAAGAAAAUGCUGAAGCAAAAGCUGAUGAAGUGAAGAGAAAAGGAAAGGAGGAAGAAGAAGAAGAAGAUGAAGAAGAAGGAUUGAAGGCAAAGAAUAAGCUUGAGAAAGGAGGAUGGACAGAGGAGUUGGAGUUAGCUUUACAAGGAGCUUAUUUGACGGUGAAGCCAAGUCCUAAUUUCUGGAAAAAAGUUGCUAAGAUGGUUCCUGGAAAAUCUGCGCAGGAAUGUUUUGAUAGAGUGAACUCAGCUCUGAUUACUCCUCGUCAAGCUCAGCCUCGAAGAGCCACAAAAACAAUCUUAUCAACGAUUCCGCAGUUUUCACUUUCUGCAAGCAAACUACUGAAACCCAAUUCACCAAAGACAAAGAUACGACAGCGCAGAAACAAUCUCUCAAAGAAAGUGGUCAGGCAUUUACUGGAGAAGCAAAAUCAUAUGGAUCAAGGUCUUGGAUUUGAUCUCUUCUCAGUUCUUGAGCCUAACACCACAAGCAAUUUUCUCUCAACUCCAAUGGAAAAAGGGCGAAGUCUUCCAAAAAUCCUUGAAAGUCCGGUGCCUUGUUCAAGUAAAGAUCCAACAACUCUCGUUAGCCCUCCAGUACUGAAACAGGUAAAAAACAAGGCAUUGCAUGAGAAGUACAUUGAUCAUCUGCAUAUCAGGGAUGCUAAAAGAAAAGCCGAGUCAACUCGACUGGCUGGGAAAGAGAACAUAAGACCUAUUGAAAUUCAGAAGAAGGAUUCGGUGAGAGCAGCUAAGGAUGCACUUUUCUUUGAUGUACAAGAUGCAAUCCAAAAGCUAAAAGGUCUGGAAGCUGAGAACUCAUCUAGUUCUUCAGAGUUUUGCUAUGAUCAUGUCGAAACGGACGAAGAAGAUUAAAUCUAGUUGUUUCUAGCCAGAUAGAUUUGAUUGUACUAGGGCACAGAGCGUAGAGAUUAGAGUAAGGCAUUACUGUAAAUCUUAGUUUUGUAACCAUGAGACUGAAACUACACAUUGUGUGAGUUUAGUUUAGUCAGAUGUUUGUAUACACAACAAAAUUGAUUCUCUGUUUACUAUAAUGAUCAAAUUUUGGUUCCAUACUUUUUGCAUAUAAAGCUUAACAUAAAUCAUAAGAGAGAAAACUAAAAGCCAAAGGUGUUAAACUUCCUUAGUUGAGUUACAGAAGAAAGUGAUUCUUAAACACAAGAACACUUGAGAAUUAAAACAAGUAGUAAUUUACACAAAAGAAUUUCCUCCUUCAGUGGAAAUUUUUAGUUUACCGUUCCUAAUCAAAAGGUUAGAGAUCCUCAAAAUCUGUUUCCUUCCUUAAGUAAGACCCAUCUUAAAUCCUCCUGACAUAAAGUAUUAAUAGUUAUAUGUUUAGAUAAAAUCCUGAUUAAUAUCAGUCUUCAGAAGAGUAGUCAAUCCGCUCUAUCUCCCAACAAAGCUUAGUCGCAACACUUUCAUGGCAAGGCGAAUAUUCCUGCAAACAACAACAACAACACAAAUUAUAUGGUUUGAACAUGAAUAUUUUUGGAUCCAUUAAAAUGUCAAAUUGUCAAUUGUCACGAACCUCCAGCUUCUUUACAAGCUCCUUGGCAGUAGGUGCAGAAAUUAUGAUCUGGCGUGCGUUUGUACUGAUGAAGCCUUCUUCAACGGCUUUAUCAAUGAAAGAGAGCAAAGAGUUGUAGUAUCCAUCAACAUUGAGCAAACCCACCUGCAGUAAGAACAAUGAUAAUUAGUUUUCUAAUGACUUUGGGUUUAGAGUUAUCUACCAAAGUCUGAAUCUUCAGAAGGAUAAUAGUGAUGGGUCUUUACCGGUUUAUCAUGUAUUCCAAGCUGAGCCCAUGUUAUGACCUCCAAAAGCUCUUCAAGUGUUCCAUAUCCACCUGCAAUUUUUUUAAAGCAGAAGACAUUAUAAUCCAUUAACAUUAUUAUUAUUAAGAGAAAUGGUCAAUUUACAGAACUAUGCUUCAUAUGCAGAAACUGUCCUCUGACUCUAUAUACAUAUGGACAUGAUUACAAAAAAAGCAGGUCCUAUUGAAGAACAAGACUUCCUUAGAUGGGCAAAACACGCAUUUUUCUGAGACUGUUUCAGGUUUUUGUCUUUUAACAUGAAACAGGUAAGAAAAGUAAAACCUUGGUCACAGUUACACUACACACAAGCUAAAUAGAGAAGUAGCUCCCAAGUAAAAGGCAAAGAGAAAAAGAAACAGAGACUGGUCUAAUUUUCAGUGCGAGAUGUCGAUGGGUCAAGGCAUCUAUAGUUAUUAUAUUCAACAUUUUGUCCAUAUAAAAACCCCAGAAAUCAUUACAAAGCAAACCAAUAUACUUUUAAAGUUUUUAACUUGAAACAGUUGCUUUCACACUGCAGCUUGAGUUUGACCAAGAAACAAAAAAAACAUGUUUUUACCAACAUGUUCUUCUUCCAUCUUCUUUGGCAAAAACAGUCAAAGAGUUAAACACUUUUCGAUGCUAUAUUUUAAUGAGCAUUCUUCUUCUUUAUUACUUUGAUAUUCCACAAUUUAAGAAUUUAAAAAGCCUAAAAAAUUAUGCUCAUUAGAUUCUUAAACAAUGCUGUCACUAGACUUGACCAGGUUAUAUCUUACAUAAUCAUUACUUGUUUAGAAAACUGAACUUGUAAGAGAGAAAACAAAAUUAACAUUAAAAACUGAUGGGACCUUGAACAAUUUCAAGAUUUUAAUUAAGAAAUCAAUACUACUAACCUGGUAAAGCAAUAAAAGCAUCAGAGUGUCUAGCCAUCUCUGCUUUUCUUUGAUGCAUAUCUGCAACUGCUCUUACUUCUCCUACUGUUUCACCGGUCAACUGCCAAAAAGAAAGAGCAUCCAAAAUUUAAGAUAUUAACUAACAAUCUUGAAACUUUAAACUUAAUUAAAAGGGGAAAACAAAAAGCAGCUUUAGACUGUUCUAUGACCAGAGGCAAUGAUGGCAUUGUAAGCAAAUUGGCUUAUUUUAAAUUCAUUGCAAGACUUUAGUUAAGAAGCUCUUCAUCUUAUUUUUUUCUCAAAAUAAAACUUUCUCUUUUGGUUUCAAUAAAAGAGAUGAAAGUUAAGGCAAAGAGAGAAAUUAAAGCAAGAAUACCUCUCUAGGCAUGAGUGUCUUGGGAAUAACUCUGUGGUCAAAUAACAACAAAGAUAAGAAAAAAGACUUAUUAAGACAAAUAACUCUGUGCUCAAAUCGUCAUUGUUUCCUUAAAUCUAUGGUCAAGUGAUUAGAUGAAGAGUUACCCAAUAACAUGGCGACCACCAUCAUGAACAGCUUGCGAAACCAAACCCAUCAAACCUAUGCUUCCACCUCCAUAGACUAGAUCAAUGUUCCUUAAAACCUGUGAUAGUAAACGAAACAGAGUAAAUAAACCAUCUUUAUCACUACAGAUAGUUUGAGAAAUUAGCUAUGAAAAGAAAUCAAAACCAAAGAUACUCUAUUUGUACUAUCAAAUUAGAUACAAACAUUCCCAUGCGGAAUUUGUGGGCUCCAAAUCAUAAAAGAUGAAUAUGAUAAAAGGGAAAAAAAGAAAGAAUCUUUUUGAGUGAUCAAAAUUACAUAUUUAAGAGCGUUUUUCAAAGUAGAAAACAGAGGAAAUGCUCUGCAUUUGCAAAAAAAAAAACUCAGAAACAUAUUCACAAACAUCUGGUGAACAUAAAACUGUAAGAACUCAAGAAACAGAGUAAUAACUACACAUAGAAAAAUCCAGAGGUGUAUGUAAUAAUACCAAUUCGUUGCCUAGAUCCACAGCAGCAUCUUGGUAACUACUCUUCUUGCCUUGGCUGCUUCCACAAAACACACAGAUUCUUCCAAACUUUGACUUUUGCAUGGUUUCAUUGUUGACCUCCAUUGGUUACGAUGAGAGCUCAAGCUAUGAAAAAAUCUAAACUUUUUACCCGAAAAAAAACAAAACAAAACAAGAAGCUUUGGUCCUUUGUAUUUUUGGUAAUGAAAUCUCUCAAUUGGGUUUUGCUUCCUUAAAGAACAUAAACGACAGGUACAAAACGUACAAGUGUCAAAGAAGAAGAAGAAGUUAAACCAAAAGAAAAAGCUCGAAACUUUUCUUUGCCUACUAAAAUGCUUUCGAGAGUUGGGGAUUGUUGUAUUAAUAUAUAGUUAGAGAGUGCGUUUUCUCGUCAUGCUCUUGGAAAAAAAUUUCAUUUUUGGGAUUUUUCACACGUGAGAGAUUGAAGCAUGCGCGUCGCAGCCACCCGCACAUACACUUCAUGUUGGCACGCGUGGACCACUUCUUUGUGUUUUCCUCUAUUUGUCUUCUUUGUGCUUCCACAUUUUCGUUUAUUUUUCUAUAUUGAACUAUACACUUAUGAAUGUAUUUCUAUAACUUUCUAUUUUCUACUUACUAACUCCAAAGACUUUGGAACCUAAAAAUAAAAUUCAAAAUGGUAUGGAUGUUUAAUUGAGAGUUUAUGGGAAAUUAGUGUAAGCAAUCUCAGAACAAGAAAGAUUCAAGCUUUCUUGACAUAGAUAAAUAACCUAAAUAAUCAUAAUAUUGACGAAAUUUCUAUAUUAUGAAUUUCAAGAUUUUUACAACUCCAACUUGACGAAAAUUAGAGAUUGAUGAUAUUGAAUCAAACUCCUUUUCUUUUUACUAAAUUUAUUGGAUAUAACCAUAUACAUUAAUAAUCAUAAUAUUUUAAAGAAGAUUACAUAUUGAAAAUGAAAUAUCCCUAAAAAAUGUUUCAUAAUGAUUUUAAUAUAUGUCGUGCGAAAGAUAAUGGGAAGUGACAAAGAAAACAUCUUUAGAUUAAAGAAAUUGAUUUAGAUAUAAAGCUACCUCGCUUUUUGAUUCCCUUUUUGAAGAACAGAACAAAAAUUUCAUUUUCGACAAUGCAAAUAAAAACAUUUCAUUGUCAACAUAUAUCUGAACAUAUAAGAUGGGUCCAAACAUAAUUUACUUUUACCUCUCUCUAUUCUGUAAUAUUUAAAUGAAAGUGUGAUCAAAUUAGUGAUGAGAUACACAGACAUGUACCAUAUUCAUAUAAAAAUUUAUACUUAUAAAUGAUGAUGUCUGGGUUAUGGAGCAAUGUGCCAUUGAUGAUUGAAAUAAGGAACACAAGAUGAGUAGUUAUGGCUUUUAUUAUCAAUGUACUAGUAUCAUUUACACUCCCUAUGAAGACAACCCUCCUCCUAUCUUGUUCUAAGCAUAUACCAAAAUCAUUUAUUUUGAAUAUUUACUCCACUUACUUUACUUUUUGUUUGGUGCUUUUAUAAUAAUGUUUUUGUAGAGAUAUUAAAAGCUCUCGCUUUACCCAUAUCCCUGUGCAUUUGGAUAAUGGAUAUCUUACUCAUGGCCGUUUGUUUUAGUAAAAAUUUAUUCAUACAUAGUUGUUGUUAACGUAAAAGAAUAUGAUUACAUCUAUUACGAAUAAUCCAACACAAUGAUAGACUAUAAGGAUCCAAUGUGACAACAAAUGAGGGUACUUCAAUGUAGUCAAUGUAUGUAAAAGGUUGAUUUUGCUUGGCUUGGAAGCAAUGAAUUUGAAUUAUCUUUAGCUAGUAGCAAGUUCGUUCAAAUGAUGAGAUAGAAACAUGAAGCCAUAUUGACAUCGUUUUCCAUGAGCACGUGAAAACAAGUACACAAGUCAUGUUCAAUAUAUAAAAGGAAAAGAAUAAGCAAAUUUAGGGUUUCAUGAUUUAUUUUUUUCAUCGUUAGUACAUGUAAAUUGGCGAGGAAGGAGGCCAUUUUUUUCCCUUUGGACUUUGAUGAAUAAUUUGAUAUAUUUGCAUACUGAUGCACCUCGUUAUGAGACGAAUUCACUCCACAAGACACAAGCAUUCUAUUACAUAGGAAAAUUUGAUUAUGAAAUUGUAGACUCCACAUGCUAUUAAGUUAUUAAAUUAUCUUAUGGUACUGUAUUAGUAUGGAACUGCAGCUAGCUGUUUUUACUCCGUAUACCGUAUGCUACGAAAUUACUUUCUUCCAUAUGGACAUUAGACAGUCACCCCAUACUCUCAUACUUAAUUGGACAAAUAUAUAAUAAGUGUGUGUGAAAUUAAACUAGAAAAUUGCAAUCCCAAGAACUCAGUGCAAGCUGCCCUAUCAGAUUUAAGUAUAUAUUUUGGGUUAAUUUAGAGAUUAUAAACAAAUAAUUACUUCUUGAAACCAAUGUGUAUUUGUAUCUGCAUGCUUGCAUGCGCAUUUAACUCUUUUGUUUUGUUUUUUUACUCCACUCCACAUUCCUCUUGGGUUUCUAACUUUCAAACCUAUUUUAUAAUAUUAUUAUAUUCGACUAUGAUGCUAAUAAAACCACAUACUAAUUAGUUCAUUCUUGAUAUAUUCAACAUUCAUUUUUCAAAGAUCUCAAAUGGUUAUGACUUGUGGUUAUAUAUAUACCAACAAUGGAUAACCAAAAGUAAACCUCGUUUGCUUUUGAUCUUAUAACAAUAAUUCUCUUUAGAUGCAAGAGAAUUAUAUUAUUCGGUUAAAAGUUAUUUAUAUUCACGAUACUGUUAAACGGACCUAAAUUCAGGUUUGUUAACAAAUUUAACAUGUGUAUGUUAUUUUUAAGAGUAAAUUAAAAUUGAAACAAUAAAAGGUAAAAAACUCCUAAUAUAAUUCAAUUUUAUGUAUAUUAUAUGUGAUUAAAUAAGUUAUAUAUCCAUUUGAUAGAUGCAUUUAUGGAUGUGUGUGCGCCGAAUACAGAUGAAGCAGAAGAGCAGUGAUGAAAAGGCUCCUCGCUUUCUAAUUCUAUCAGACAGAUAACUUUAUUUUAAUUGUUUUUUGGUUAGAAAUUUUUGAUUCCCAACAAAUCAUAUUUAAUUUGAUGUUAAUGAACGAGCCAAAUGACGACCAUAUCAACUGCAGCUGUAGUACUAACAAGGGCCCCAACUUGCAAUUACGACCGGCCAAAAUCUGCCUUGAGAGUACCAUAUUCAUUAUGGUAUUUACAUAUUAAUUUAGACAAAUUUUAGAUUAAACCAUUUUCAGAAUCUAUCUUAAAAUCUAUAAAGAUAGUGUGUGACUUUGUUUAAUACUCGUAACAUUACUCACCUCUAUAACAUUACUCAACCUUAAUAAUAUACGUCAUAUCUAUAACAUACGUGUAUAGGGUCAUGGUGGUUGAUUGAUAUACGAAGACAAAACGAAAAAAGAGUUAGUAAAAGGCCUAACUUGUAGGCAGGAAGAGUGGUGGAAGUAUGAUGGUGAAAGAGCAAAGUGACAUUUAUGUUCUUGUGUUCUUUAUUUUUGAGACAUAAUCUUCCAUUUCUUCACUUCAAUGUUUCUCUUCUCUGCUUUCGGUCAUUGCUAUGCCCCAUUUGUUCUUACCUUUUCGUUCUACCAAUAAUAUAAAUAUUCUCUUUUUUCACCUAAUGACGUCGAAGAUACCAUCGUCACGUGACAUCCGCACACCAUAUGUAUUGACAUUGGUAUUAGUGUUGAAAAUUAGAAGGGGUGUCAAUGGGCCGUGCUUGAAGAAUAUAGUCCGAAUCAAUCUCAGAGUUUAGGCCCAUUUCAAUCUCUUAGCGGUAUAAUCCAUCAUUGUACUAGCGUUUAGGCCCAUUUAAUAAAAUUGGGAUAUAUAAUACGGAUUACACCAAACUAUAAAGUUUUGAAUCCCAGAGCAUAUGCACUGGGUUCAUAUGAGAACUGACAAUACAACCUCACACAAUCAAACCCUUCCAGAAAAUUUCUUGUUCCAUAUCGAAAUUUGUUAAGUUUUAGGAAAACUGGUUUUCAGAACAUAAGAAGAUCACGAACAUCAAAUAAAACAGACUGCUACAGUCACUCUCAUAUGCCAAAAAGCCAAAUUGUGUCAAAAUACCAACAAAAAAGACAAGAAGAAAAUGCAACUUCAACUACAACCAAUCUCGCAGGAUUCGAACAGACAAGAAACAUGGGUUCUCUGCUUUAAUCUAAUUGUUAUCUUUCUCAAAAAAAGACCAUUCCUUAACGACCUUCAUGCAUCAAAGGCGGAUAAAGCCUAGCGUGCACCAGCAGUGAGUUUUAGUUACUGUCUGAAACCGCCAUUUUCCACUAACCCUAUAUGCUUCAAAGAACCUGUUACAUUCGAGAUUCAACUGUCUUAAGCAAGGCAAUAUAUGAUUCAGAAUGGAAAUAGCAGAACAUGGCUGAGAAUUGCGAUUCUUACCCUCCAGAAUUUGCAUUUUUUGAGAAUAUGAAAGAGGUGUGACCGCUCAAAAUUGGCCUCUUGGUGGCCUAGCCUCAGCCUCUGAGACUCUUAUUUGUCUUCCAUCCAAAUCCUUUAGGAAAGUAACACAUGAGUUAGAUAUUUGAUAUUUACAGUAAGAAGUACCAAUCGAAUAAAUUAUUAUGCAAAGAAGAGAAGUGAUGAUACUUACUGCUCCAUUCAAGGAAUUGAUCGCCUUCUGAACCUCUUGGGAAGAGCUAAGUGUCACAAAUCCAAAACCCUUGGAUCUACCGCUGUCCCUGUCGUAGAUAACCCUAGCUUCAACUACCUUUCCUUGCUCGUUAAACAAGUUCUCAAGUGCCAUGUCAUCAACACCCCAAGAAAGGUUGCCCACGUAGAGACGGUUUCCUGAACCUGAGCCCGAACCGGACCCUGACCCCGAACCAUAACUGGAACGUUGAGACCCUCCGUAACCACCACCACUACGUUGAGAACCGUAUCCACCACCACGCUCGGAACCAUAACCACCACCACGCUCGGAACCAUAACCACCACCACGCUCGGAACCGUAACCUCCACCACGCUCAGAACCGUAACCUCCACUUCUUGGUCCUCUGGAGAAGGAUUCCUCUCUUUUAGGUGGAGGAGGGCCAGCAUUGACUCUCAAAGGUCUGCCUUCAAAUUCCUGAAAUGUUAAAAAUCAACAGGAUUAAUGAAAACAGCCAGUGUAGUAAUGUAAGAAAUCCAAAAGACAAGCUUGAAGGUAUGAACAACAAGACAAUGUGACAAAAACAAAUGUACAAAUCUAAAUCGGCUACUUAUAUCCCAAAUGAGAAACACGAACAACCUAGAAGAAGAUGCAUCUUAUCAGCAGAAUAUAAAACAACAUCAACCACGAAGUCUCCACAAACCAAACAGAAGAUAAACAACACUAUUUCUCUAUCUCAAACGUUCAUACAAUCCAAUUCAUGGAAUUCCACAUUACACACAAGCCAAGAACAAGAAACAAUACAAGCAACUCAAUAAACAAACAAGUCCACACAAAACUCUUAUCAACAAGUAAAGACACAGUAGCGAACACAAGUAUCUGCUUACAUAGCCAUUGAACUGUUGAGCUGCUGCUUCAACUUCCGCUGCGGUUGACAUUGUCACAAAUCCGAAACCCCUGCUCCGGCCAGUCACUUUGUCAUAGAUAACCUACAAUAUCAAACUCAUUUCAUCACAAAUGAAAACAAUCUCAAACCUUUAGCUAUGUUCUCACUUUAACUCUACUCAAAACGAUUCAAACCCAAUUAAGAAAGAUAAUUAAUCCAAAUCUGAAAACAGAAACCUAAAUUUAUCUUACCUCAACCAUCUCAACAUUUCCAGCGCUCUCAAAGAGCUGAGCAAGCUGAGCGCUAUCAACGUUAAAAGAAAGGUUACCAACAAAGAGCUUAAGGUCAGGAGAGAAGGAGUUACGCUCCACAGGCGCUGAAUCGUCACCGUCAGCGAACAUAUCAUCUUCCUCCACCUCAAAAUCCGAAGAUACAGCAACGUUUCUAACGAAACGCGACGGGUACUCGGCGGGGGAUGAGCAUUUGAGGGCGGAGGAAGCGAAGAUAGAGACGAGGUGGUCGGAGUGAAGUUUGAAGGAGAGGGAAGGAGGUAAGACGGAGACGGAAGCGGGUCUGGAGACGCAGAGAGGAAGGGAUUUAGGAUUGAAAGCAGAGAGGGAAGAAGCAGAGGCAGACAUGGCUAAAGCUUGAGAGAAUUUUGCUCUCGAGGCUAAAGCUUUGAGAAGCUGGUGGUGAAGAGAUAAGGUUUAAGGGUUCUGC